This 274-nucleotide ribosomal RNA is filed under the name uncultured bacterium. RNAcentral describes it as "partial 16S ribosomal RNA". It matches the Rfam family "Bacterial small subunit ribosomal RNA", at positions 523 to 796 of the family's 1533-position model. The record is from RNAcentral.
AUACGUAGGGUGCGAGCGUUAAUCGGAAUUACUGGGCGUAAAGCGUGCGCAGGCGGUUAUGUAAGACAGAUGUGAAAUCCCCGGGCUCAACCUGGGAACUGCAUUUGUGACUGCAUAGCUAGAGUACGCCAGAGGGGGAUGGAAUUCCGCGUGUAGCAGUGAAAUGCGUAGAUAUGCGGAGGAACACCGAUGGCGAAGGCAAUCCCCUGGGCCUGUACUGACGCUCAUGCACGAAAGCGUGGGGAGCAAACAGGAUUAGAUACCCUAGUAGUCC